RNAcentral lists this long non-coding RNA (284 nucleotides) under Mytilus galloprovincialis (Mediterranean mussel). The record is from RNAcentral. Lineage: Eukaryota; Metazoa; Mollusca; Bivalvia; Mytilida; Mytilidae.
GUUGUCGUUUGUUUAUGUGUUACAUAUUUGUUUUUCGUUCAUUUUUUGUACAUAAAUAAGGCCGCUAGUUUUCUCGUUUGCAUUGUUUUACAUUGUCAUUUCGGGCCUUUUGAAGCUGAGUAUGCGGUAUGGGCUUUACUCUUUGUUGAAGGCCGUACGGUGACCUAUAUAUAUAUAUAGUUGUUAAUAUCUGUGUCAUUUUGGUCUCUUGUGGAGAGUUGUCUUAACAUGGCAAUCAUACCACAUCUUCUUUUUUCAUGUAAUCAAUGAAUUUUGUAAAACAU